Molecule: long non-coding RNA, 845 nt
Filed under: Aedes aegypti (yellow fever mosquito)
Lineage: Eukaryota; Metazoa; Arthropoda; Insecta; Diptera; Culicidae
Description: lncRNA AAEL024021
Source: RNAcentral
AGUUAUCCUCCGAGAGCACUUUGAUAUCCCAUGGGGGUAUUUCCAGAACUAUUAUUUUGGCUAGUCCCCUUUGAAAUGUCAUUCGCGAUUCAGGACAACAUAUGAGAGCUGUCAUUAUAUAUUUUACACUUCAGUUGAGUUAUUUUGAGCAAUUCAAAAGUAACAUGUUUUUCAUUUAACGUUCUGCGGCAUACAUAUCAUGGAUUCUAAUGAAAUAAACUGUGUUCGAGAGGACAAUUCGAUUCAACCCCAAAACAAUGAGAGUACCAUUUACUGCCCAGUUUGUUCAGAAUCAUUUUCCUGCGAGAAGACGCUGUAUAAGCAUAAGAUGACACACUCUUCGGAUUUUCGGAUAUAUGACAUGGAGCGAAAUAAUCGAAUAUUCAAAGUGCACGUGCGAAUCUAUACAUGUAAUAUAUGCGAGAAGGAAUUCCGAAACCUGACCCACUACGAAAAGCACCGAAAAAUUCGUCAUACCAAAGAGGGCUAUAUCUGUCCACACUGUAGCAAAAUAUUUAAGGAUAUAAAGUAUAUGAAAAUCCACAUGCGUACCCAUUCGGGAGAGAGGCCAUACGAGUGUGACAAGUGCACCAAAACAUUCACCCGAUCGAUCAUAUUGCGGCAGCACAUGCUAACACACCAGAAAACAGGGAACCAUAAGUGUGAAUUUUGUUCCAAGUCAUACAAACGAAUGGAAGACCUCCAUCGCCAUUAUGAAGUCCAUUGAAUUAAAAAAAAUGAUUUUCUUAAUAAUGGAAAUUUUUAUUUGAGCGCCAUACAACAAUAAUUUAAAAUGUACGCUACAUAGUAAUACACAGAUUUCAACAGCAUUAUUGAAUCUAUUC